RNAcentral lists this ribosomal RNA (1430 nucleotides) under Triticum aestivum (bread wheat). RNAcentral's name for it is "partial small subunit ribosomal RNA". The record is from RNAcentral. Lineage: Eukaryota; Viridiplantae; Streptophyta; Magnoliopsida; Poales; Poaceae.
AUGAUAAUGCCGGUAGAGAGCCCACAUGAUGGCAUCAUAACUGGAUGUCAUGUCCAUGACAUAAUGUUUGAUAUGAUAUGUCUACUAUCAAAGGAAGAAAACUUUGUUACGGUAUUGGGUAGUAACGAGAAAUAUACAACUUCACAUUGCAAUGCUCGUAGGCUAGCUAUUCAUCGAGGAUUCCAACCUCUGGCUAGCACGUCUACAUUUCAAGCAAGGUCACUUAAUGCCAUGUGCAAUGCUAAUUUGUUGCCAUCACUUUCAUGCUUUGAAGUUUUGCGUGUCCUAGUUUUGGAAAGCCCCUCUAAUAGGCACAAUCCCGAUUCUUAUGAGCAUAAUGGGAAGUUAGUCCACUUGAGGUAUCUCAAACUAGCGAACAUACAUAUCUCUGAGCUCCCAGAGGAAAUAGGAGAGCUAAAGUUCUUGCUGGUACUAGACUUGAGUGCAAAAGGGAUAAAUAAACUUCCAGAGAGUAUUGGUCUACUGAGUCAACUCAAGUGCUUGAAUAUCUGCAGAACAAACAUUGAAGUGCCAUCCUGGAUCGGAAAUUUGACGUCGCUGGAAGAGCUAUGCCUGAAUGGAGUUGAGAAGCACUCGAACUUCGUGACAGAGCUGGGCAAGUUGACAGAGUUGAGGAAGCUCCGCGUGUCUGAUGUUUUAUAUUUAGAUAGUGUUGGCACAAUGAAUGCUUGGGCGGAGUCUGUAGCUAAGCUGAAUAAGAUUGAAGUCAUAGACAUUCAGUUUAUUUUCUCAGUUAGAACUUCUGGCCAUGAGACCCCCUGGGAAUGGAAGGUCCUCCCUCCACAACUCCGUGUCCUACGCAUGGCCUACCUAGAACCUGAGCUGGUAGCAAGGAUCAAUCCCUCGCUUCUUCCGAACAUGUCCCAUUUAGAACUAUUUGUAUACAGUCCAGAACUGGAGGUCUUUGGAAGUUUCCAAGAGCUUGUUGCCCUCGAGCUGUUCAUCGGUCCAUCAGCUCUCCACCAUGACACCAUGGGCGGUAUAGGUGCGUUCCCCAAACUGAGGGUCUUCAAGACACAAUCAACGAUUGGCUCGUUCGUAGAGGGAGAUAUGCCAGUCCUUGAAUAUCUUGAGUUCCACACCGUAGCACAGUCCAAUGAUGACGACAUUAGCUUUGACUUUGACUUUGGUAGCCUAGAAAACCUCCCUUUGCUUCAACACGUCUCGGUCCUUGUAUCUACCCCUGAGGCGGACCGCGAGAAGGCUGAGGAAACGGUGAGGCAUGCAACUGAUAUGCUUCCCAACCAUGUCAACCUUCGAUUCACAAUAGCUGAGGCAGCUCUGCAUAUUAUGCUGAGGUGUGUACUUAUCUCUAUUACUAGUAUAGAUGUCCACGGGCAGCUAGCCAGCUAUCUUAUGUAUAUCUUUUUCCAGAGACCUCAGAAACCGGAUAAUCAGUUAGCCAUGUA